CCUACGGGUGGCAGCAGUGAGGAAUAUUGGUCAAUGGGCGCGAGCCUGAACCAGCCAAGUAGCGUGAAGGAUGACUGCCCUACGGGUUGUAAACUUCUUUUAUAAAGGAAUAAAGUGAGGCACGUGUGCCUUUUUGUAUGUACUUUAUGAAUAAGGAUCGGCUAACUCCGUGCCAGCAGCCGCGGUAAUACGGAGGAUCCGAGCGUUAUCCGGAUUUAUUGGGUUUAAAGGGAGCGUAGAUGGGUUGUUAAGUCAGUUGUGAAAGUUUGCGGCUCAACCGUAAAAUUGCAGUUGAUACUGGCAUCCUUGAGUACAGUAGAGGUAGGCGGAAUUCGUGGUGUAGCGGUGAAAUGCUUAGAUAUCACGAAGAACUCCGAUUGCGAAGGCAGCCUGCUGGACUGUAACUGACGCUGAUACUCGAGUAGUC
This 427-nucleotide ribosomal RNA is filed under the name uncultured bacterium. RNAcentral's name for it is "partial 16S ribosomal RNA". It matches the Rfam family "Bacterial small subunit ribosomal RNA", at positions 338 to 762 of the family's 1533-position model. The record is from RNAcentral.